This is a small nuclear RNA of Talpa occidentalis (Iberian mole), 103 nucleotides long. Lineage: Eukaryota; Metazoa; Chordata; Mammalia; Eulipotyphla; Talpidae. The record is from RefSeq and is a predicted model, not a curated record.
UCGCUUGGGCAGCAUAUAUACUAAAAUUGGGAGGAUACAGACAAGAUUAACAUGUCCCCUGUGUAAGGAUGACAUACAAAUUUGUGAAGUGUUCCUUUUUUAU